CUGUGGCCAAAAAAUUGAGAAUGUGAUGAACUAGAGACAAUUUUAUGGCCACAAGUUCUCCGAUUCUUCCUCUUUGUCAGUCCCCUCUUCUUCUUCUGGGAAUAUGUUUAUUUGUGCUAAGGUACAUUGCCUAAUUCACAUAUUAUGAUAUGUUAGUUUUGUGGGCUAUGGGUAUGGCUACUUCUUUGUUGAUUGAUUAUGGACCUUAUGAUUGUGUGUUUCUUUACAGGUGGACAAGGGUAAGGUUCCACCACCCUUCACAUUGAAAGAUCAGGAUGGAAAAGCUGUGAGCUUCUCCAAGUUCAAAUGAAAGCCUUCGGUUCUCUAUUUCUACCCUGCUGUGUUGAUGAGACCCCAGGGUGCAGCAAACAGAUUCACAUUGGAGCUGACAGUACCAGAUAAAGACUGUAUCUUUAAUUAGUGCAGACACUGAUAAGUUGAUGCUCCCUUAGGCUUGUGAUUUCAGAGAUUCUUAUGAGAAGUCUAAAAAGUCUGGCACUCAACUUGUACUCAGUUCGUUGCCUAUGUUGCACAGAAGAGCUGGCUUGUUCAGAGUUUCUUUGUUCUGCCACUCAGCUACUUAAAAGCUGGGCUCGUGGAGAAAAGAGAAAGGUUGUCUUAGGUUGUGUUGCUCAUGAUCUUCAAAGUGCUAGAUAGCUUGGUUAUCAUUUCGAGUACUUUUACUUUUAAAUCUAAUUUUUAUUGUGAUUUAAAUAUCAUUUUACAAUGGAUAGAUUGACAAAGUUGUAAUUUUGUAUUUUCAAUCAUUGUAUCUAAUUUUAUG
Non-coding RNA from Prunus avium (sweet cherry), 784 nucleotides. The record is from RefSeq and is a predicted model, not a curated record. Lineage: Eukaryota; Viridiplantae; Streptophyta; Magnoliopsida; Rosales; Rosaceae.